CAGUCGCCGCGGUAAUACGUAGGGUGCAAGCGUUAAUCGGAAUUACUGGGCGUAAAGCGUGCGCAGGCGGUUUUGUAAGUCUGUCGUGAAAUCCCCGGGCUCAACCUGGGAAUGGCGAUGGAGACUGCAAGGCUAGAAUCUGGCAGAGGGGGGUAGAAUUCCACGUGUAGCAGUGAAAUGCGUAGAUAUGUGGAGGAACACCGAUGGCGAAGGCAGCCCCCUGGGCUAAGAUUGACGCUCAUGCACGAAAGCGUGGGGAGCAAACAGGAUUAGAUACCCGUGUAGUCCCUGUCUCUUAUAC
RNAcentral lists this ribosomal RNA (301 nucleotides) under uncultured bacterium. RNAcentral's name for it is "partial 16S ribosomal RNA". It matches the Rfam family "Bacterial small subunit ribosomal RNA", at positions 509 to 807 of the family's 1533-position model. The record is from RNAcentral.